This 487-nucleotide ribosomal RNA is filed under the name uncultured bacterium. RNAcentral's name for it is "partial 16S ribosomal RNA". It matches the Rfam family "Bacterial small subunit ribosomal RNA", at positions 28 to 507 of the family's 1533-position model. The record is from RNAcentral.
GAUGAACGCUAGCGAUAGGCUUAACACAUGCAAGUCGAGGGGCAGCACAAGGUAGCUUGCUAUCUGGGUGGCGACCGGCGCACGGGUGCGUAACGCGUAUGCAACUUGCCCUAUACAGGAGGAUAACCCGUCGAAAGACGGACUAAUACUGCGUAUGCUCACAACUUGGCAUCAAGUGGUGAGGAAAGAAAUUCGGUAUAGGAUAGGCAUGCGUCCCAUUAGCUUGUUGGUGAGGUAACGGCUCACCAAGGCAACGAUGGGUAGGGGAACUGAGAGGUUUAUCCCCCACACUGGUACUGAGACACGGACCAGACUCCUACGGGAGGCAGCAGUGAGGAAUAUUGGGCAAUGGGCGCGAGCCUGAACCAGCCAAGUCGCGUGAAGGAUGACUGUCUUAUGGAUUGUAAACUUCUUUUAUACGGGAAUAACAAGAGUCACGGGUGACUCCCUGCAUGUACCGUAUGAAUAAGCAUCGGCUAACUCCGUG